Molecule: transfer RNA, 30 nt
Filed under: Osteolaemus tetraspis (dwarf crocodile)
Lineage: Eukaryota; Metazoa; Chordata; Crocodylia; Crocodylidae
Description: partial tRNA-Gly
Source: RNAcentral
ACCCUGGUUUCCUAGCCCCAGGGAAGAGCA